RNAcentral lists this microRNA precursor (65 nucleotides) under Oreochromis niloticus (Nile tilapia). RNAcentral describes it as "microRNA oni-mir-10971 precursor". The record is from miRBase by way of RNAcentral. Lineage: Eukaryota; Metazoa; Chordata; Actinopteri; Cichliformes; Cichlidae.
ACACAGUGAGGGUUAUCAGCUGCCAGCUAGCGUCUGUUUACAGCUGAUACUGAGACACUGCUGCA